GGAGGUGUCGCCUAGAGGCCUAUGGCAGAGGUUUGCUAAACCUCCGAGCAUCUAAAAGUGCUCGCGCGGGUUCGAAUCCCGCCACCUCCG
This 90-nucleotide transfer RNA is filed under the name Candidatus Roizmanbacteria bacterium. Its description in RNAcentral is "tRNA-Ser". It matches the Rfam family "tRNA". From Rfam's summary of the family: Transfer RNA (tRNA) molecules are approximately 80 nucleotides in length. Their secondary structure includes four short double-helical elements and three loops (D, anti-codon, and T loops). The record is from RNAcentral. Lineage: Bacteria; Candidatus Roizmaniibacteriota.